AUACGUAGGGUGCGAGCGUUGUCCGGAAUUACUGGGCGUAAAGAGCUCGUAGGUGGUUUGUCGCGUCGUCUGUGAACUUCCGGGGCUUAACUCCGGGCGUGCAGGCGAUACGGGCAUAACUUGAGUACUGUAGGGGAGACUGGAAUUCCUGGUGUAGCGGUGAAAUGCGCAGAUAUCAGGAGGAACACCGGUGGCGAAGGCGCGUCUCUGGGCAGUAACUGACGCUGAGGAGCGAAAGCAUGGGUAGCGAACAGGAUUAGAUACCCUGGUAGUCCAUGCCGUAAACGGUGGGCGCUAGGUGUAGGGGUCUUCCACGACUUCUGUGCCGUAGCUAACGCAUUAAGCGCCCCGCCUGGGGAGUACGGCCGCAAGGCUAAAACUUAAAGGAAUUGCCGGGG
This 398-nucleotide ribosomal RNA is filed under the name uncultured bacterium. RNAcentral's name for it is "partial 16S ribosomal RNA". It matches the Rfam family "Bacterial small subunit ribosomal RNA", at positions 523 to 918 of the family's 1533-position model. The record is from RNAcentral.